GUACCCCCGCUACGCAAGCAACGCGCGCCGCGUUCGAUCUCUCUCUCUGUCAAGUCUAUUCGCGCAUCAGCACGCACACGCACGCGCGCAAGCCUGCCCCCGCGCGUGAGAGCCAUGCUGAGCGAGAGUGAGCAUCACCUGGUGGCUGUGGCCUUUCAGUCCAUGGACCCCAACAACACCGGUAUGGUUGCCCUAAGCGAAGUCAAGAAGCGGUACUUCGCGCAUGCACACCCGCGCGUAAAGGAGGGCAGCAUGGCGCCAUCCGCCGCACGCGACACGUUGGACUACCAUUUCGGCGUCUGUGCUGCCGACCACGAAGGCAGCAUCACCUUCGAUGAAUUUCUGGCAUACCACGAAAAGCUCGCCGGCGAGGCAUACGACGAGCACGUUGGUGACGUCGCAGCCUUCACGGAGAAGACGAUCAUGGGGUUAUGGAGGCUCGGCGACGUGUUGCUGCCGACAGGUGUGCGUCCCGCCUUUCCGGUAACGCAGGCGCCGACCGGGUUUUACGCGGUGACGCUCAUGACGUUGGUUUGGGUAGAGCGUAGGCAGAUGGAUGCGUCUCCGGCUUCCGCUCAGCAAUCCUCCAGCAGCGGUGGCGCCGCUCACGAUGACCUCUUUGUGCUCCGCGGGAUCAAAGACGUGGUCCGCCCCAUCUUUACCCGCGGUGACCUGCCAGACGAGCUGCAGGGCUACUUUGCAUACCCGGAGGAGCUGUCCGGGAUGGCGAUAGACUAUGUGGCGCCUCGCUUGUCGAUUCAGCGAUGGUACGACUUCACGUGGGAGUACUCGGAGGGCAAGUACUGCGGCGUCGAAGGUAUCAUCUCCACCCGUGUAGACCUAGAAUCCUUGCCUGCUGGCCUACGGCAGUUUGUCUGCGAGCAUGCCACAGCGGUUUCGCGCGGCACGACAUGGAUGCAGACAAGGCUCAUGAUGAACCCCAUGUACAAGAAGACGAGCUCCGCUUACGGAUGUGGCGUCAGCGAGGAGUGCCGCAAGAUACAUCACUGGAAGGUAAAAACGUUUGAGGGGAAGCAGUACGGCAACCAGUACCAAGGCCUGUGCGGUAAGUACUUUUCCAAGUUGGGGGCGCCGCUGAAGUCCGGCGCCGCCACAGGCAUGAACAUAUAAAGAAGAGUGCCGGUAUUGAGGUAUGUGGAACUGAAAAACCGCGAGGGGCAAUGUGUGAACCGCGCGAGCUUGCGCUUCGCCUGUGGCCCCUCCUCAGCUCUCUUGUGCGAUGCCAUGCAAGAGUGCAUGGGUAGGUGUGGCAGGAGAAGGGGGAAGGGCUGCGCCGUUCGUUUGUUUUUCUGGCCUCCGCCGCGGUCGCAUCCGCUGCGCGCAAGGCUUCUGACGAUGAUGGCACGUGUGUUGGAGGAAAAGAGGGGCGGGGGAGAGAGAGAACUGCUCUGCAGUCUCUCUCUCUCGUCAAACCGCCGUGUCUUCCCCACCCAUCCACUCCCGCCUCCUCGCUGCCGCCACCCUCAUCGCUGCUCGUCUGCGUCUGCCUUUUUACAGACGCGCACAGUCGUCUUGUUCGCCAAUCGCCUCAUGACGUUUCUCCCGUUGGUCGAUGUACACAAUGUGAUUUGCACCUUUGGCGAACCCCAGCGCCGUUAG
RNAcentral lists this unclassified non-coding RNA (1620 nucleotides) under Leishmania donovani. Its description in RNAcentral is "gene:LdHU3.36.3400(CDS-product:hypothetical_prote in_conserved)". The record is from RNAcentral. Lineage: Eukaryota; Euglenozoa; Kinetoplastea; Trypanosomatida; Trypanosomatidae.